This 460-nucleotide ribosomal RNA is filed under the name uncultured bacterium. Its description in RNAcentral is "partial 16S ribosomal RNA". It matches the Rfam family "Bacterial small subunit ribosomal RNA", at positions 338 to 795 of the family's 1533-position model. The record is from RNAcentral.
CCUACGGGAGGCUGCAGUGAGGAAUAUUGGUCAAUGGGCGCGAGCCUGAACCAGCCAAGUCGCGUGAGGGAAGACGGCCCUACGGGUUGUAAACCUCUUUUGCCGGGGAGCAACGGGCGCCACGUGUGGCGCCACUGAGAGUACCCGGAGAAAAAGCAUCGGCUAACUCCGUGCCAGCAGCCGCGGUAAUACGGAGGAUGCGAGCGUUAUCCGGAUUUAUUGGGUUUAAAGGUGGCGUAGGCGGAGCGUUAAGUCAGUGGUCAAAUUGAGGGGCGCAACCAGGGCCGGCGGGUGAAACUGGGGAUCUUGAGUGGGCGAGAGGUAUGCGGAAUGCGUGGUGGAGCGGUGAAAUGCAUAGAUAUCACGCAGAACUCCGAUUGCGAAGGCAGCAUACCGGCGCCCGACUGACGCUGAGGCACGAAAGCGUGGGGAUCGAACAGGAUUAGAUACCCUAGUAGUC